CUAGUAAAUCCUACAAGGCACUCUUUCAGAAUCUUCUCUUUUUUUAGUAGAGGAAGUAAUGCACUUUACUUGUGUAGCCAUGACAACCAUGUAACAGGCCAGAGCAAUACUAGAGGUUUCCUUGCCAUUGCACUAUGAGAUUAAAAGUCUGCCCAUUAACUGUAGAGAGCCCUAGAUUGGGGAGGAAGCAUAUGCUUGGAAAGAUACCAUUGAACAAUUCCUGUUCUGCUAUAGGGAAAAAUGAUUUCACAAUAGUAAAUCAAACACAGUAGAAAAAAGACGAAGAAAAGGCAUGGAGCAUUAGCAAGACAUAUCCUCUGUGUGUGUGGACUUGAAGGUGCAAAUGUGGAAGAGAAGGCGAGAAAAAUGGAGUUUCUUCGGCUCUUCAGGAGUUUCAUUUGAAAGGAUGGAGAGAUAUUUCCUGAGACUGCAACGUAUCUGAUAAAUCAAAUAUACUGCAGGGAAAAAAAAAAGAGGUCUUAAUCACUCUGGACAUGAGUUCAACAACUAAAGUGUUAAUGCAGAAAAAUGCA
This is a non-coding RNA of Pantherophis guttatus, 533 nucleotides long. The record is from RefSeq and is a predicted model, not a curated record. NCBI's taxonomy places the organism in Eukaryota, Metazoa, Chordata, Lepidosauria, Squamata, Colubridae.